AUAUCAAUAAGCGGAGGAAAAGAAACCAACAGGGAUUGCCCCAGUAACGGCGAGUGAAGCGGCAAGAGCUCAAAUUUGAAAGCUGGCUCCUUCGGGGUCCGCAUUGUAAUUUGUAGAGGAUGCUUCGGGAGCGGUCCCCAUCUAAGUGCCCUGGAACGGGACGUCAUAGAGGGUGAGAAUCCCGUAUGGGAUGGGGUGUCCGCGCCCGUGUGAAGCUCCUUCGACGAGUCGAGUUGUUUGGGAAUGCAGCUCUAAAUGGGUGGUAAAUUUCAUCUAAAGCUAAAUAUUGGCCGGAGACCGAUAGCGCACAAGUAGAGUGAUCGAAAGAUGAAAAGCACUUUGAAAAGAGAGUUAAAAAGCACGUGAAAUUGUUGAAAGGGAAGCGCUUGCGACCAGACUCGCUCGCGGGGUUCAGCCGGCAUUCGUGCCGGUGUACUUCCCCGCGGGCGGGCCAGCGUCGGUUUGGGCGGUCGGUCAAAGGCCCUCGGAAGGUAACGCCCCUAGGGGCGUCUUAUAGCCGAGGGUGCAAUGCGACCUGCCUAGACCGAGGAACGCGCUUCGGCUCGGACGCUGGCAUAAUGGUCGUAAACGAC
RNAcentral lists this ribosomal RNA (593 nucleotides) under Penicillium rubens. RNAcentral's name for it is "eukaryotic LSU rRNA". It matches the Rfam family "Eukaryotic large subunit ribosomal RNA", at positions 40 to 648 of the family's 3401-position model. Lineage: Eukaryota; Fungi; Ascomycota; Eurotiomycetes; Eurotiales; Aspergillaceae. RNAcentral also lists the same sequence under 1 other name. The record is from RNAcentral.